UUUGUCUUUUUGGCAAAUGUGAGAUGCAGUGUAUGGAAUGUCAAAUUUCUAGUAUGAGAAAUUAACGAUUUAAGUCCUUCUUAAAUGAGGCCAUUUACCCACAGAGGGUGCCAGGCCCGUAUAACGUUAAUGAUUACUAGAUGGCAUUUCCAAAGAGUCGUGUUGCUUGAUAGUGCAGCACUAAGUGGGUGGUAAACUCCAUCUAAAACUAAAUAUUACCAUGAGACCGAUAGUAAACAAGUACCGUGAGGGAAAGUUGAAAAGAACUCUGAAUAGAGAGUUAAAUAGUACGUGAAACUGCUUAGAGGUUAAGCCCGAUGAACCUGAAUAUCCAUUAUGGAAAAUUCAUCAUUGUGAUUUUAAUAUAUUAUAAUAAUGGUGUGCAUUUUUUCUAUAGAGGACAUUGUAAUCUAUUAACAUAAAAAUUUAUCAAAAGAUCAGCGGUAGUUUAUUCAAAUUAUUUUGCUUGCAAUUUAACAUAGGAUAAAUGCUUUUGAUUUGAUAAAGUGUUGAUAGAUUUAAUAUAUAGUGCUUGAAUAAUAUUCUAUAAUAGCAUAGUAAUUAAUAAUUUCUGUGUUUAUUAUAUGCACUUGUAUGAUUAACAAUGCGAAAGAUUCAGGAUACCUUCGGGACCCGUCUUGAAACACGGACCAAGGAGUCUAACAUAUUUGCAAGUUAUUGGAAAAAAUCUAAUAGCGAAAUUAACAUAACAUAAUGGGAUUAGUUUCUAGCCUAGUCUAUUAAUUCAAUCCCGGGGCGUUCUAUACAGUUAUGUAUAAUAAUAUUUUAUAUUAUUUAUACCUCUAACUAGAGCGUACCUUGAGCAUAUAUGCUGUGACCCGAAAGAUGGUGAACUAUACUUGAUCAGGUUGAAGUCAGGGGAAACCCUGAUGGAAGACCGAAACAGUUCUGACGUGCAAAUCGAUUGUCAGAAUUGAGUAUAGGGGCGAAAGACCAAUCGAACCAUCUAGUAGCUGGUUCCCUCCGAAGUUUCCCUCAGGAUAGCUGGUGCAUUUAAAAAUUAUGUAAAAUAAUCUUAUCUGGUAAAGCGAAUGAUUAGAGGCCUUAGGGUCGAAACGACCUUAACCUAUUCUCAAACUUUAAAUGGGUAAGAACCUCACCUUUCUUGGUAUGAAGGUUGUGGUUGUGAUAUAAUGUGCCCAGUGGGCCACUUUUGGUAAGCAGAACUGGCGCUGUGGGAUGAACCAAACGUAAUGUUACGGUGCCCAAAUUAACAACUCAUGCAGAUACCAUGAAAGGCGUU
Molecule: ribosomal RNA, 1264 nt
Filed under: Phyllophilopsis sp. JOS1211.16
Lineage: Eukaryota; Metazoa; Arthropoda; Insecta; Diptera; Tachinidae
Description: partial 28S ribosomal RNA
Rfam family: Eukaryotic large subunit ribosomal RNA
Source: RNAcentral